UGCUCCGAAGCAGUAGUUCAAGAAAAAUGCUGCUCCGAGUUCGAAGCUUGUGUCGGAGCAUCGGCGUCAGACGGUCAUCACUAAUUAGUAGGGUUAAAAAAAUAACUAAAUUUCAAGAUAUUUACAGAUAUGAAUUAAACCUGUUGUAAAGUUGCGCUUGUGAUAACGUCGUAAGUCACAUGAUAACGUCAACAUGGCGGAUUAUAUCCGGAUCACAUUCAUACUCAACGAGAUUAGUACCUGCUCUUUUAGGCUCGUAAAGUAAGUACUUACUGAAAUUAAGUACCUACUCAGUGAGUAGGCGAUUUCGGACGCAGCCAGUGUCUACAUAGACUUCACGCAGUGCGAGUGAUGUCAUUACGUCAUUUGCAGCGGACUGGUCGAAAGUCGAAGGGAAUCCAGUUUUAUUGCGCAUUACAGAUUUAUUGCAUUUAUUGCUGAGUUGGAGUUCGAGGGCUCAGGGCCGUAAUUAAGAUGGAGCAUGAAGAGACUGGACCUGCUAGUUUGGCAAACCCAACCCCACCCCUCAGACACCCCCCACACACACAUUCUUACUGAUUAAGCUUAAUUUAUAUAUGAAUGAGUUUUUUAAGUGUGCAGUUAUAUAAUUAUCUUUUGUAAUUAACAUUGUGUUCUUGGAAUGGCUGUAUCUUGUGUUAAUAAAAAAAAUAACGUUGAAAGGAUGGUUCAGGGACAUUAUUCUAACCUUAACAUAACAUUUUAACAUUAAAGAAUUUAACGUUCUUGGAUGUUACAAAUCAACGUUCUUUGAACGUUGUAUUGAUAAUAAAAUUUAGGUGGUGAGAACGUUGCAGGAACGUUAUGCUAACCUUAAAAUAACGUUUUGCUAACGUUAAAAAAACGACAUUUUAACGUUCUUGGAACGUUACAAAUCAACGUUCUUUGAACGUUGUAUUGAUAAUUAAAUUUAGGUGGUAAGAACGUUGCAGGAACGUUAUGCUAACCUUAAAAUAACGUUUUGCUAACAUUAAAAAAAACUGGACAUUUUAACGUUCUUGUAACGUUACAAAUAAACGUUCUUUUAACGUUACAAAUCAACAUUGAAGGAACGUUAUAAAUCAACGUUCUUUGAGCGUUGUAUUGGUGGUAAAAUUUAGGUGGAAAGAACGUUGCAGGAAUGUUAUGCUAACCUUAAGAUAACGUUCCAGCAACGUUAAGCAAACUGGACAUUUCCACGUUUUUAGAACAUUUCAAAUAACGUUCCCAAAACCAAAAGAGAGCGUUUGGAAAACGUUCUCAUAACAUAAUUUUGUUUGCUGGGGUGUAAGGGGCAGAGACUCGGGAGCAUUUUCACACACCGUUCUGAUUUCAUUCUGUAUCUGACAAUAUAGAGAUAGGACGUGUUUCACAGAGCAGUGUAAGAAAUAUUUAUUGUUAGAAAUGUUUUUGCUUUUUAAAAAAUCUUUUGUCUUUUAACUCCUAUUGUUUAAUAUACUUAAUGAUAAUGCAUUUGUUUGAUGCUUUUUGUUAAAAUCUUCUGUUUAAUUAAUUAAUUAAUGUCCUUUUUUAAAUAUACAUUCUAUCUUUCGGCAUUGAGGUGGGCCUGUUAGGGGCGGAUGACGUUGAUGGUUGGAGGAGUGUUAGGGGCGGAGACUCGGAAGCGUUUUCACAGACUAUUCUGACUUUAUUCUGAAUUUGACAGGGACGAGAUAGGACGUGUUUCACGGAUCAGUGUAAGAAAUAUUUAUUGUUAAAAAACUUUAAAAGUAGAUGUUAGAAAUGUUUUGCUUGAAAAACCCAUUUGUCUUGUAACAACUAUUGUUUAAUAUACUUAAUGUUAAUGCGUUUGUUUUAUACCUUUGUCCCAGAAAAUCUGAUAUCUGAUAACAUUUUAAAUUGUCUUUGUGAUUUAAUUGCACAAUUCAUUAAUGUCUUUUAAAAACAUUCUUUAAUAAAAAUAUCCCUUUUAAA
This is a long non-coding RNA of Megalobrama amblycephala (Wuchang bream), 1932 nucleotides long. RefSeq lists it as uncharacterized. The record is from RefSeq and is a predicted model, not a curated record. The transcript is spliced from 2 exons. Lineage: Eukaryota; Metazoa; Chordata; Actinopteri; Cypriniformes; Xenocyprididae.